Molecule: ribosomal RNA, 296 nt
Filed under: uncultured cyanobacterium
Lineage: Bacteria; Bacillati; Cyanobacteriota
Description: partial 16S ribosomal RNA
Rfam family: Bacterial small subunit ribosomal RNA
Source: RNAcentral
GCUAUACCCCAUAUGCUUUCGAGUGAAAUGGAUUAUUCGCCUAAAGAGAAGCUCGCGGCUGAUUAGCUUGUUGGUAAGGUAAUGGCUUACCAAGGCGACGAUCAGUAUCUGGUUUGAGAGGACGAUCAGACACACUGGAACUGAGACACGGUCCAGACUCCUACGGGAGGCAGCAGUGGGGAAUUUUCCGCAAUGGGCGAAAGCNUGACGGAGCAAUACCGCGUGAGGGAAGACUGCCUAUGGGUUGUAAACCUCUUUUCUCAGGGAGGAAAUCAAUGACGUUACCUGAGGAAUAA